CAUGUUCAUUGGGUUGCAGAUAGAACUGAGAUGAUAUUUCAAUCCUGGUGAAGAGAGGUUCUACUUCAGGAUCUCAGUGCCAGCUCAGGAAAACCUUCCCAACAAACUUCUCAUACACAGACGCAGUUUGACUACAGUUAAUAAGGAAACUGGUCACAAGGAAUAUUACUGAGCAUCAUGUGUCCAACAGAUGUUAAAAAGAAGAAUAUCCACAACUACAAAACAAUAACGGAAAGGCUAUUCAUCAUGAUGCUUUCUGGUUUUUCUGUUUUGCAUAACGCAAGAGAUGCAGAAUUAUAAGAGACCCAGGAGCUGAUGAUUUAUGAGCGUGUGUCUCUUGUAAUGUACUGGAGACAAUUAUUCAAGUCUGAGUUCAUUUAUAAGGAGUGUUGCAUCAUACACUUUACAGUGAUGCAAACAGAAGAAAAACAAAACAAAAAAAAAAGUUGGGCUUAUUUUACAAAUGUAUGCGUGUUGCUUCAGGUUAUACUUCAGUACUACAGUGAUUUUCUAUGAAUUGCACAUCCAGGCUGUGAAUCUCUCCGACCAUCUAGCAUUCAAAACAUUUUGCUUUGGGUUUAAUGACAGUCAGAAUAUAGAACAACCUACUUGGGAACCAUACCCACAAGUGGUUAGUACUUACCCAAAGUGGUUGGUAGAUACCAGAAAUGGUUGGUACAUAGCAAAAGUGGUUAGUAUCUACUGCACCAGAAGUGGUUAGUAGAUACUAGAAGUGGUUGAUUGAUACCAGAAAUGGCUAGUUUCUCCCAAAAGCAGUUAGUAUCUACACAAAAAUGGUUAGUACCUACCAAAGGUUGUUGGUAGAUACCAGAAAUGGUUAGUGCCCACAGAAAUUGGAUAGUAUCUACCAAAAAGUCAGUUGGUAUCUACCAAAAGUUGAUAGUACCUACCAGAAGUGAUUAGUACCUACCAGAAGUUGUUACAUAGCAAAUUUGCAGCUCUGACUGUACUACCAGAUAUAAUUCAUAUCACAUCUUUUUCAAUCAGAAGCAUUGAAAAGUUUAGGCAAAACUGUCAAUGUAAAGUUCUUCCAUAUGGACAAAUCUUCAGGAAAGAGGAUGUACAGUAAAUUUUGAUGUCUUGUUAACCAAAGAAAAAAAACACUACAGAAUUUGCUCUUAUUGAAAAAUAAUCAACUUCAGGGUGGUAAGUGAGUCACAGCGAAAGCCUCGUCAAUGAUCGUUUUCCCCAUAACACCAUACCAGGCCAUGUUUUCAUCCGUCAUUAUUUUAGAAAGCUCGAUUAUUUGCUGUUGCUGUUGGAAUCCUUUGCACGUUAACUGCCGGAUUGUUUACAGUCCGAGGACAUAAAGGUCACGGCGGCAACGGCCGCCCACCCGCCGAGUUCAGCACUGUUCUUUCACCAUCGACCGGAGAAAGGAAUAACAAACACGUCUUUGAGAUUUAUUAUUCUGAGCAGAUACAUGACGAACUUCUUCAGGACGGAUGCAAGAAUUAAACCAUUAUAAUUAUAAAACACAGAAUGACUUGCACUACAGUCGGGACUGCAAAUUUUGCUUUAAUAUACUUCCAAUUAGAAAUCUGAACACAUAUUUACAGCUAAAGCAACACUAUGAUUAAGUGUAAUGUAACCACUUUUUGGAGAGCAUUUUAGUCAGAAAAAAACACAAGCUAAGCCAAACCUAAUCUAGCUAACUCAAUCUGAAAAUUCCCUUAGCAGUCUGUGUGAGAGAAAGGGAUUAGGACCAAGCCAUUCGAUCAACUUUAUCUUGUGUAUCAGUGAAAUCAUGGCACAACAACGAAUGCAGCGUAAUAAACUCACUAGACGUAACAGGAUAUUCAUGCUAGUUAGGACUCCCUCAACUCUCAAAGCAACCUCAGUUCUUCAUAGCAUGAAAUUUCCGAAACAUCUCUCUGAGAUUCGGGUUCAUAUUGAUAUGCAAAUUUCUGCAGUUUCACACCAAGGUUGUGAAUCUCUCCUAGCAACUUCUACCUGUUUGGUACCUUUAACCAAAAGUGGUUAGAACUUACCAGAAGUGGUACCUGCCAGAAGUGGUUUGUAUCUAUCAGAUGUUAUGCAUAACUAACAUGGUUAAUACCCAUUAACCCAUUAAGUUUGGUGCCAAAAGUACAGUAAUUAUUCAUCUAUCCAAUGUGUUACCUGUCAAAAGGGUUAGUAUUUACAAAUUAGUGGUACCAGUGGUUAGUACCUACCAGAAAGUGGUGCAUGUCAAAGUGAUUAGUGCCUACCAGAAGUGGUACCUGCCAAAAUGAUUAGUUCCUGGCAAAGUGGUUUGUAUUUACCAGAUGUGGUACCUGAAAAAGUGGUACAUACCUACUAAAAGUUGUACAUACCAAAAUUGGUAAAUACCCAUCAAUGUGUGAUGCCAAAAGUACCUAUCCAGAAUGGUACCUACCAAAAGUGGUGCAUGUCAAGGUAAAAGUACCUACCAGAAGUGGUACCUGCCAAAAUUUGUUAAUUCCCAUCAACGCCAAAAGUACCUCUCAGGAUUAGUACCUACUAAGGCUCAUGCAUACCAGUGAAACUAUUUGUCUAUUUUUUUUUCUGUAUGCACUUUACAAAGUACAACUAUUUGCAGUUUCAACCCAAAUAUUGGUUUGACCUAAAAAUACAUAUCUGCCCAAAGGGAAUUAACGUUUAGUAUUCUGUGCAAUGCAUUCCACAUUACGAGAUUACUCUUUUUUUCCCAAUUUGAUUCUGCUUGCUUCAGGACCUCAAGACUGAACGAAACAUGAAAACUCAGCAACAGUGAAGCCCAGCAGAGCACUUUUCACACAUCCCAGGCUUGUCUUGAAGUGUCGUAUUAGCAGUCUGCUUAUAGCAGAUCGAUUGAAAUAGCAUGGUCUUCUUGUCAUUUUUGUUUUAAAUCUGUCAUUAUAUGAGGUUCGAGGUGCCAAUUCCUCAAGCCUAUAUUUGCAUCUCACCAUCUCAUGGUGCUGAGAGGAAUGAGUGGGAGGCAGAAUGAUGUUACUCUACACCCGAGCACAGUGGGGGUCCUGGAUAUGUGCAACGAUACACUGAGAAUAGUGAUAAACUUUUGGCAUUUCCUCAAUGAUGAAAAGAAACGCUCAAUCAUCUGGUAGUGGAUCAUCAAAACGGGAUAUUUCCUCUCGAGUCUUGCAGAUGAUGUUUUUUCUACCUCAGCCGCCUCUCUUCUGAAGGCUUAAUGCCAGCCGGGGCUGCUGGGAUGGCAGCCACAGACCACCAAGAAGAACAGAGCAAUUUCACAGAGGGAAGCGAAGGAAGCACAGGACAAGGUUUAGACUACAAAACCUCCCAGUGCAAGCUUUGGUCUACAUCCAGAAGCCCUUGAUUGGCUGUUUACAGCCUCUAAAAUGGUGAGAUCAUAACGUUCUUUAUAGGGUAAGUUCUGUUUCACUUGUAGUUUCACAGGGUUCAGAUUAUCAUACUAAUACUAGAGGAUGAAAGACUUGCCAAAGCAUCCAAACAUUCUUUGCCCCUAAAGGACAGAAGGUUAAGGGCCUUGCUCAAGGGCCCCAAGCGUGGCAGCGUGGCCAUACUGGGGCUUAAACCCCCGACCUUCCGAUCAAACCCAGAGCCUUAACCACUGAGCCAAAACCGCAGAUAUUACAUAUAAAGUGUAACACCAGGAAGGCGAGGAAGCCCGAUGUGACUGCGGAGUCAAUUUCACAACUGCCAUUGAUAUAGAAACACUAAGGUUCACUUUAUAGGUUAUUUUAUGAAGCUUGCAGCAUCGAUAUCCUCCAAAUGGGAUUAAAAGUUCUUGCUAUGCCGGAUGUGUUUCCGCCACAAGCACUUCAUUUAACACACUACCUGGGUGGCCAGAUAUUACAUUUUCA
Long non-coding RNA from Silurus meridionalis, 3824 nucleotides. RefSeq lists it as uncharacterized. Lineage: Eukaryota; Metazoa; Chordata; Actinopteri; Siluriformes; Siluridae. The transcript is spliced from 4 exons. The record is from RefSeq and is a predicted model, not a curated record.